RNAcentral lists this transfer RNA (81 nucleotides) under Treponema sp. RNAcentral describes it as "tRNA-Leu". It matches the Rfam family "tRNA". From Rfam's summary of the family: Transfer RNA (tRNA) molecules are approximately 80 nucleotides in length. Their secondary structure includes four short double-helical elements and three loops (D, anti-codon, and T loops). Further hydrogen bonds mediate the characteristic L-shaped molecular structure. tRNAs have two regions of fundamental functional importance: the anti-codon, which is responsible for specific mRNA codon recognition, and the 3' end, to which the tRNAs corresponding amino acid is attached (by aminoacyl-tRNA synthetases). tRNAs cope with the degeneracy of the genetic code in two manners: having more than one tRNA (with a specific anti-codon) for a particular amino acid; and 'wobble' base-pairing, i.e. permitting non-standard base-pairing at the 3rd anti-codon position. Lineage: Bacteria; Pseudomonadati; Spirochaetota; Spirochaetia; Treponematales; Treponemataceae. The record is from RNAcentral.
GCGAGAGUGGUGAAAUUGGUAGACACGCCAGACUUAGGAUCUGGUGCCAUUGGCUUAGGGGUCCGAGUCCCCUCUCUCGCA